This 319-nucleotide small nuclear RNA is filed under the name Heterocephalus glaber (naked mole-rat). RNAcentral describes it as "7SK RNA". It matches the Rfam family "7SK RNA". From Rfam's summary of the family: 7SK was discovered as an abundant small nuclear RNA in the mid-70s but a possible function has only recently been suggested. Two independent studies have found that 7SK RNA binds the CDK9/cyclin T complex (known as elongation factor P-TEFb). The record is from Rfam by way of RNAcentral. Lineage: Eukaryota; Metazoa; Chordata; Mammalia; Rodentia; Bathyergidae.
GGAUGUCAGGAAGAUCUGGCGGCCACACCUGUCAGCCAGUAUAUCUGGCUAUACCGAAAGCCAGGGUUGAUUUGGCUGAACCUGCUGACUAGGUAGUUGUCUCCUUCCUCCCUCACUGUUCCAUGUGAGUCCCUCCUGAAGCUACAUGCAUGGUCCAAGAAGAUAACUUUCCAUAAUAGAAGAAGACUGUUCUGUAGUUGAAGGUAUACAAGUAGCUAUUCUCCCCUGCUAGAAUCUCCAAACAAGCUCUCAAGAAGUAACACAUAUAUUAUUCUGAAAAAAAUGGGUCAGAAACAUACAAACCAGUAAAAGGUUCACU